CAAUAGCGUAUAUUUAAGUUGUUGCAGUUAAAAAGCUCGUAGUUGGAUUUCGGGUGGGACGCAGCGGUCUCGCAUUGCGUUUGUACUGCUGCAGCCCUCCUUCUUGCCGGGGGCGGCCUCUCGGACUUCACUGUCUGGGGGUCAGAAUCGGCGAUGUUACUUUGAGUAAAUUAGAGUGUUCAAAGCAAGCUUACGCUCUGAAUAUAAUAGCAUGUGAUAACACGACAGGACUCUGGCCUAUCGUGUUGGUCUAUAGGACCAGAGUAAUGAUUAAGAGGGACAGUCGGGGGCAUUCGUAUUCCGUUGUCAGAGGUGAAAUUCUUGGAUUUACGGAAGACGAACAUCUGCGAAAGCAUUUGCCAAGGAUGUUUUCAUUGA
Molecule: ribosomal RNA, 378 nt
Filed under: uncultured eukaryote
Lineage: Eukaryota
Description: partial 18S ribosomal RNA
Rfam family: Eukaryotic small subunit ribosomal RNA
Source: RNAcentral